UAGUCUAGUGGCUAGGAUUCCUGGUUUUCAACCAGGCUGCCCAGGUUCAAUUCCUGA
This is a transfer RNA of Sus scrofa (pig), 57 nucleotides long. It matches the Rfam family "tRNA", at positions 8 to 63 of the family's 71-position model. From Rfam's summary of the family: Transfer RNA (tRNA) molecules are approximately 80 nucleotides in length. Their secondary structure includes four short double-helical elements and three loops (D, anti-codon, and T loops). NCBI's taxonomy places the organism in Eukaryota, Metazoa, Chordata, Mammalia, Artiodactyla, Suidae. The record is from Rfam.